RNAcentral lists this ribosomal RNA (462 nucleotides) under Granulicatella adiacens. RNAcentral's name for it is "bacterial SSU rRNA". It matches the Rfam family "Bacterial small subunit ribosomal RNA", at positions 28 to 477 of the family's 1533-position model. Lineage: Bacteria; Bacillati; Bacillota; Bacilli; Lactobacillales; Carnobacteriaceae. The record is from RNAcentral.
GACGAACGCUUGGCGGCGUGCCUAAUACAUGCAAGUCGAACGAGAGCGACCGGUGCUUGCACUUGGUCAAUCUAGUGGCGAACGGGUGAGUAACACGUGGGUAACCUGUCCAUCAGAGGGGGAUAACAUCCGGAAACGGAUGCUAAAACCGCAUAGGUCUUCGAGCCGCAUGGCUUGAAGAGGAAAAGAGGCGCAAGCUUCUGCUGAUGGAUGGACCCGCGGUGCAUUAGCUAGUUGGUGAGGUAACGGCUCACCAAGGCCGUGAUGCAUAGCCGACCUGAGAGGGUGAUCGGCCACAUUGGGACUGAGACACGGCCCAAACUCCUACGGGAGGCAGCAGUAGGGAAUCUUCCGCAAUGGACGCAAGUCUGACGGAGCAACGCCGCGUGAGUGAAGAAGGUUUUCGGAUCGUAAAACUCUGUUGUUAGAGAAGAACAAGUGCUAGAGUAACUGUUAGCGCCU